GACGAACGCUGGCGGCGUGCUUAACACAUGCAAGUCGAACGGGUCUGCCCUGUUUUUUGCGGGGUGGGUCAGUGGCGAACGGGUGAGUAACACGUGAGUAACCUGCCCCUCACUUCUGGAUAACCGCUUGAAAGGGUGGCUAAUACGGGGUGUUCUGGCUGUGCCGCAUGGUGUGGCUGGGAAAGAUUCACUUUUGUGGUGUUUUGGUGGGGGAUGGGCUCGCGGCGUAUCAGCGUGUUGGUGGGGUGAUGGCCUGCCAAGGCGAUGACGGGUAGCUGGUCUGAGAGGAUGAUCAGCCACACUGGAACUGAGAGACGGUCCAGACUCCUACGGGAGGCGGCAGUUGGGAAUAUUGGACAAUGGGCGCAAGGUUGAUCCAGCCAUACCGCGUGGGUGAAGAAGGCCUUCGGGUUGUAAAGCGCUUUUGUUGGGAAAGAAAAGCAGCAGGUUAAUACCCCGCUGUUCUGACGGUACCCAAAGAAUAAGCACCGGCUAACUUCGUG
Molecule: ribosomal RNA, 503 nt
Filed under: uncultured bacterium
Lineage: Bacteria
Description: partial 16S ribosomal RNA
Rfam family: Bacterial small subunit ribosomal RNA
Source: RNAcentral